AACAGGAUUAGAUACCCUGGUAGUCCACGCCGUAAACGAUGUCGACUUGGAGGUUGUGCCCUUGAGGCGUGGCUUCCGGAGCUAACGCGUUAAGUCGACCGCCUGGGGAGUACGGCCGCAAGGUUAAAACUCAAAUGAAUUGACGGGGGCCCGCACAAGCGGUGGAGCAUGUGGUUUAAUUCGAUGCAACGCGAAGAACCUUACCUGGUCUUGACAUCCACAGAACUUUCCAGAGAUGGAAAGGUGCCUUCGGGAACUGUGAGACAGGUGCUGCAUGGCUGUCGUCAGCUCGUGUUGUGAAAUGUUGGGUUAAGUCCCGCAACGAGCGCAACCCUUAUCCUUUGUUGCCAGCGGUUAGGCCGGGAACUCAAAGGAGACUGCCAGUGAUAAACUGGAGGAAGGUGGGGAUGACGUCAAGUCAUCAUGGCCCUUACGACCAGGGCUACACACGUGCUACAAUGGCGCAUACAAAGAGAAGCGAUCUCGCGAGAGCCAGCGGACCUCAUAAAGUGCGUCGUAGUCCGGAUUGGAGUCUGCAACUCGACCCCAUGAAGUCGGAAUCGCUAGUAAUCGUGAAUCAGAAUGUCACGGUGAAUACGUUCCCGGGCCUUGUACACACCGCCCGUCACACCACGGGAGUGGGUUGCAAAAGAAGUAGGUAGCUUAACCUUCGGGAGGGCGCUUACCACUUUGUGAUUCAUGACUGGGGUGAAGUCGUAACAAGGUA
Molecule: ribosomal RNA, 727 nt
Filed under: uncultured bacterium
Lineage: Bacteria
Description: bacterial SSU rRNA
Rfam family: Bacterial small subunit ribosomal RNA
Source: RNAcentral